RNAcentral lists this ribosomal RNA (323 nucleotides) under uncultured eukaryote. Its description in RNAcentral is "partial 18S ribosomal RNA". It matches the Rfam family "Eukaryotic small subunit ribosomal RNA", at positions 1470 to 1796 of the family's 1831-position model. The record is from RNAcentral.
CCCUUAGAUGUCCUGGGCCGCACGCGCGCUACACUGAUACGGGCAACAAGUUUAUUUCCUUCACCGGAAGGUGUGGGCAAUCUUAAAAACCGUAUCGUGAUGGGGAUCGACCUUUGUAAUUUUCGGUCGUGAACGAGGAAUCCCUAGUAAGCGUGAGUCAUCAGCUCGCGUUGAUUACGUCCCUGCCCUUUGUACACACCGCCCGUCGCUACUACCGAUUGGAUGGUUUAGUGAGGUCUUCGGACCGGCGCUUGCUGUGGCAACACACGGGUGCUGGAAAGUUGCUCAAACUUGAUCAUCUAGAGGAAGUAAAANUCGUAACA